This 468-nucleotide ribosomal RNA is filed under the name uncultured bacterium. Its description in RNAcentral is "partial 16S ribosomal RNA". It matches the Rfam family "Bacterial small subunit ribosomal RNA", at positions 28 to 507 of the family's 1533-position model. The record is from RNAcentral.
GACGAACGCUGGCGGCGUGCUUAACACAUGCAAGUCGAACGGAAAGGCCCUGCUUGUGGGGUGUGCUCGAGUGGCGAACGGGUGAGUAACACGUGAGUAACCUGCCCUUGACUUUGGGAUGACUUCAGGAAACUGGGGCUUAUACCGGAUGGGAACUCCUUCUUCAUGGUGUGGGUUGGAAAGUUUAGUCGGGUGGGGAUUGACGCGCGGCUCAUCAGCUGGUGGGUGGGGUAGUGGCUUACCAAGGCUUUGACGGGUGGCCGGCCUGGGAGGGUGACCGGCCCCAUUGGGCUUGGGAAGGGGCCCGGACUCCAACGGGAGGAAGGAGUGGGGAAUUUUCGACAAUGGGCGGAAGCCGGAUGCAGGAACGCCGGGUGGGGGAUGAGGGCUUCCGGGUUGUAACCCGCUUUCGGCUGUGACGAAGCGUGAGUGACGGUACUGGGUAAAGAAGCACCGGCUAACUACGUG